CUCUUCAAAUGGCUCCCCUUGUCUCUACCACCCCAACCAGUGUCCCUCUCUGCUUCCUCUCUUUCUACGCUUUCUCUAAUUCCUCCAAUCCUUCCUUCUUCCCAAUCCCUCCUCGCCCUCUAUUUCAACCUCUUACUUCUCAUUGCACCAUGGGUUGUCAUGGUCGGUGUCGCGCCGCCAGCCCCCGCCCUCCUCCUCCUCCCCGAAUCGACCCACCUCCCGGGAACAAUCCAAGGAAGCUUCAAGGAUUGUAAUAUGUGAUGAAAAUUCUAUUAGUAUCAAAGGAAUUCGCAGAUUCGUUGUAGCAAAUCGAGAUCAGGAGAUUGCAUAAUGCCGAUGACCUUUGGCUUCCGGUAAGCAAUGAUAAGUGGAGAAGCUUUCCUCUCUAAGCCUGUGGGAAAUUGGGACGACUCUUGAACUUCUCAAGGGUUUGCUGCUUUUCAGUAAUUCUUUGUUCAAGACAAUGGAGGCAACCUGUUUGUCAAUAUUCAGUUCGGAGAAUAUAAGAACACUUAAUAAUUGUUUGAAUUUGAAACUGACACACUAUGUCCGUAAUUACCAUUUGACUAUAUCAAGUUAUAACCAUGUCUAAAAUUGGAUUACAUGGUAUGUUCUUCCUUUGAUAUAAAUUGACUGUGCUAGUUACCAAAAGUCCGGUUUCUAUUCCUCAGAUAUCAGGGGCUUUCUAGUGAGCAUGCUGCUAAAAAUUCAAGAAAAUUUAAAUGUUGGCUAUAUAGUAAUAUGAGUGCCCUUUGGUUUAAAGAAUCAUAGGGAAUGUAAUGAUAGCAAAUAAUGAAAUGAUGAUUACAAAGCAUUUGUUUGGUAUGCCAUCAAGGAAUCAUGGAAUGAACUUCAUAUUUUAUCUAGAAGGAAAAAAAUAAAUGUGAAAUGAUAUUUUUAACUCUAUCAAGGUCAAAAAUGGAGGGUAUAAAUGUUUAAAUACUUAUUCAUAGAAGGUAUAGAUGUCCAUACGUUGAUUCAUAUAAGCUUAAAUCCAGAUUACACAGGCAAAGUUAUGUAAUGGGAUUACUUGAUUUGUUAUAAUAUGUUAUUAUCAAGAUUGCAUUGAAUUACUUUACUAUGUCAACCAAACACGUGAAUCAGCAAAAUCCAUGUAAUGUACAGAAUUGAAUCAAACAUACCGAAACUGUGGAUCAGAAAGAGAUAGUAAAAUUAAAUAUGCUGAUACAACAGUAUUGAAAGCAAGAACCGUGUUUCUAUUGCUGUAAAGUGCAAGAAUAAUUAACACAAAAUCACUUCCCCAACUUGCAAUGAGCUGUUGUUUGGUUCUCCUCGAGUUAUAUAGAUUUAAUUUUGCAUCCCAUCACUUCUAUAGGCUACGUCUGUUUUGACAACUGCAAAAAUGUAUUUGUUAUUAAGAUAUCAUGUUGAUAUUUCUUCCAUCAUAUGAUGAUCUGUUUGAUGCGCAAUAUUGUGAAUGAAUCAUCCAUGCCUGAAUGUCUCUUGCACGUUACAAUGUUUGAUGCAUGUUAGUGUCUAUGGUGUAUUUUUUGUGAGAACGAUGGCAUGUUUUGUCAACAUAUGGUUUAUCAGGUAUCCUAUGCCCAGCUUCAUUUUACGCUUGAUUUGCUUGUUUCUUCUUCUAUGGCCAGGUGCAGCUCGCAGUACUGACCGACCCUUUUUUUUUUCUGUUGAUUUUGGGAACCAGGUCUUUCUACAUCUUUGUCCAAAAUUAAAGAUAGAGUACAGAUCUUCUUUGCUGUUCUUUUCUGGAUGUCUCUAUUCUUUUGGGCGUCUGCAUGGAAUGGGAGGAAUAAACCAAACAAAGGAUCAAGACGUAGAAGAUAACAUGCGAAGCAUUUCACUUGUAUAUAUAUCAAAUUAUAGCGUAGGGGAUAGAAUUGGAAUAUACAGUGAUGGAGGGAAAAAGCAUUUAAAUGGGUGGAAUGAAAUGUUCCUGAUCCUGAGGCUCCAUUAUUUUUUCUCUCCUGAGAUUUUUUGCAUGCUUUGAUUGAUCCGGUUUCUUGCUAGUUGACAAGGCAACUCUUUAACUAGCCUUCAAAUGGAUUUGAAAGUCCAAAUUCAGGGCUGGAAUUUGGAAUCACUCCUAUAGAGAGACCAGGAGGAUCAAUGGUUAAUUCCUUUUGCCCCCAUGAACGAAAUCGGACGCAGACAGAAUGAGCACAUCAGAAGACCCCGAAAAUUAGAAACAGCCUAAGCCAUUACUAUUUGGAACUCAUAUUUGUUUUGUGAACUAAAAUCGUUUUUCCAAUGGAAUUACUUUCGACACUGACCCUAUCGCCCAUGGUAUUUGUCUCCA
This is an RNA transcript of Neltuma alba, 2281 nucleotides long. RefSeq lists it as uncharacterized. NCBI's taxonomy places the organism in Eukaryota, Viridiplantae, Streptophyta, Magnoliopsida, Fabales, Fabaceae. The transcript is spliced from 3 exons. The record is from RefSeq and is a predicted model, not a curated record.